This 365-nucleotide long non-coding RNA is filed under the name Capsicum annuum. Its description in RNAcentral is "long non-coding RNA (CANN_LNC020709)". Lineage: Eukaryota; Viridiplantae; Streptophyta; Magnoliopsida; Solanales; Solanaceae. The record is from RNAcentral.
AUUUUUGCCAUUUUCAAGAUCAAGGAGGGUAGGGUUCAAAAGAGAGAUAAAAAUUGAAAGGCGCACGGUUUGCAAUGUGUUUGCCAAAGAAAAGAAUCCAAAGGCUCAAAGUGGGUGACUAAAAAUAACAUCUAUGCAGGGAUAGGCUAUUUUUUAAUUUAAUUUAAGGGUUUUACUAAUAAGGAUCAAAAAACACAAAAAAAAAGUCUUUACACUUGAUGGACCAACCCAUCCAAAAUUAACAGAGACGAAAAUAAAAAUUAGGCCUAACCCAAUCAGAACAAAAUACCUGGCCCUCUUCCCAAUUGUUAUUACAUAUAAAUCAUUCCAAGGGUUUCCUAAUAUCAUUUCCUUUAUCCUCUGCC